Molecule: ribosomal RNA, 292 nt
Filed under: uncultured bacterium
Lineage: Bacteria
Description: partial 16S ribosomal RNA
Rfam family: Bacterial small subunit ribosomal RNA
Source: RNAcentral
GUGUCAGCAGCCGCGGUAAUACGGAGGGUGCAAGCGUUAUCCGGAUUCACUGGGUUUAAAGGGUGCGUAGGUGGACAGGUAAGUCAGUGGUGAAAUCCCCGAGCUUAACUCGGGAACUGCCGUUGAUACUAUCUGUCUUGAAUAUCGCGGAGGUAAGCGGAAUAUGUCAUGUAGCGGUGAAAUGCUUAGAUAUGACAUAGAACACCGAUUGCGAAGGCAGCUUACUACACGAUCAUUGACACUGAGGCACGAAAGCGUGGGGAGCAAACAGGAUUAGAUACCCUAGUAGUCC